UGGGGGAUAUUGCACAAUGGGCGAAAGCCUGAUGCAGCGACGCCGCGUGGGGGAUGAAGGCUUUCGGGUUGUAAACCUCUUUCGCUAUCGAACAAGGCCCGCUCAGGGGGGGUUGAGGGUAGGUGGAGAAGAAGCGCCGGCUAACUACGUGCCAGCAGCCGCGGUAAUACGUAGGGUGCGAGCGUUGUCCGGCACUAUUGGGCGUAAAGGGCUUGUAGGCGGCUUGUUGCGCCUGCUGUGAAGACGCGGGGCUUAACUUCGCGCGUGCAGUGGGUACGGGCAGGCUUGAGUGUGGUAGGGGUUACUGGAAGUCCAGGUGUAGCGGUGGAAUGCGCAGAUAUCUGGAGGAACACCGAUGGCGAAGGCAGGUCACUGGGCCAUUACUGACGCUGAGGAGCGAAAGCAGGGGUAGCGAACAGG
RNAcentral lists this ribosomal RNA (420 nucleotides) under bacterium. Its description in RNAcentral is "partial 16S ribosomal RNA". It matches the Rfam family "Bacterial small subunit ribosomal RNA", at positions 355 to 776 of the family's 1533-position model. The record is from RNAcentral.